Long non-coding RNA from Cucurbita maxima (winter squash), 495 nucleotides. RefSeq lists it as uncharacterized. NCBI's taxonomy places the organism in Eukaryota, Viridiplantae, Streptophyta, Magnoliopsida, Cucurbitales, Cucurbitaceae. The transcript has 2 exons. The record is from RefSeq and is a predicted model, not a curated record.
UUUUUUUUUUUGCUCGACCCGGUUGCGGGGCGCGGCAAUUUUUGGUGGGAAAUUGAAAUUAGAUAAUUGACAAGAAGAGUUCAUGGAAGAAAACCCUUUGCUUGUUUUUCUUUUCAGUCUUUCUGUGGGGUUAAGCGAGUGACUAGUAUGCCGUAUGCCAUAAUUAAAUCUGGAUGCCUGAGUCUCAGUUCAUCUGUCCUCACUCUUUCAAGCUAUCUUCUUUCAUAAGAAAGUAGCUUCUGUGGCCACUUUUAUGUUUCCAAAUGUUAGAGGUUCCUCUACUCCAUGUCCUUUUUCUUUCAGUUUUCUUAGCUUAGAUGAAUUCGUUUAAACGAUCAUAUGAUGUAUUUUGGUGACAUAAUAUGGCUCCCUUCCUUUUACAAGAAAAGUAAUUGGACAUCAUUUAAAUGCUUGUGCAGUUGCUGAAGUUUGUCUUGGUUUUGGUUUGUUCUGGGGAUUCAAAUCUUCAUUUUUUGUUCGAGUUUAUAGCGUUUU